RNAcentral lists this ribosomal RNA (430 nucleotides) under Actinomycetes bacterium. RNAcentral describes it as "Actinobacteria bacterium partial 16S ribosomal RNA". It matches the Rfam family "Bacterial small subunit ribosomal RNA", at positions 355 to 776 of the family's 1533-position model. Lineage: Bacteria; Bacillati; Actinomycetota; Actinomycetes. The record is from RNAcentral.
UGGGGAAUUUUUCGCAAUGGGGGAAACCCUGACGAAGCAACGCCGCGUGGAGGAUGAAGGCCUUCGGGUCGUAAACUCCUGUCGACCGGGACGAAAGCAGUCCGGCCUAAUACGCCGGGCUGUCGACUGUACCGGUGGAGGAAGCCACGGCUAACUCUGUGCCAGCAGCCGCGGUAAUACAGAGGUGGCAAGCGUUGUUCGGAAUUACUGGGCGUAAAGGGCGCGUAGGCGGUCGCGUAAGUCCCGCGUGAAAUCCCUCGGCUCAACUGAGGAACUGCACGGGAAACUGCGCGGCUUGAGUUCGGGAGAGGGAAGCGGAAUUCCGGGUGUAGCGGUGAAAUGCGUAGAUAUCCGGAGGAACACCGGUGGCGAAGGCGGCUUCCUGGACCGACACUGACGCUGAGGCGCGAAAGCUAGGGGAGCAAACGGG